GGGGUUGUGGCUCAGAGGUAGAGUGCUUGCUUAGUAUGCGUGAGGCACUGGGUUCGAUCCUCAGCACCA
Molecule: non-coding RNA, 69 nt
Organism: Ictidomys tridecemlineatus (thirteen-lined ground squirrel)
Lineage: Eukaryota; Metazoa; Chordata; Mammalia; Rodentia; Sciuridae
Source: Rfam